Schistocerca nitens (vagrant locust) is the source of this 2015-nucleotide long non-coding RNA. RefSeq lists it as uncharacterized. The transcript has 2 exons. The record is from RefSeq and is a predicted model, not a curated record. NCBI's taxonomy places the organism in Eukaryota, Metazoa, Arthropoda, Insecta, Orthoptera, Acrididae.
AUUUGACGCUGUAGGAAUUAUGCUUUUUUUUAACGACAAUAACGUAAAAUAGUGUGUAAAAUAACUACGACAUUGUGGUAACGUAAUAUGAAAGUCGUACAGUUCUGAAGUAUUCAGUGUUUGAUCAAAAAACUGUAAUCAUAUGUUCGAUGGUUUGCGAUCACUUUCGUGUGGCCAAAAAUAUGAAUAACACCUUUUAAAAAAUGCAGAUGGGUCUCUAUUUUUGCAAAUAUGCCAACAUUGUGGAUGUCAAAGAGAUGUUCCGUUGGUUAUAACUGACCAAGCCAUUAAACUUCAAUCAAAAGUAAAGUGCUUCCGGGCGGCAAACAGAACGUGACAGGUCUGCAUUGCAGUAGCAUCAUUAAAACACAAAAAUAAAUCAUAUUUCAGUUUCAUCUAUGCAACUGGACUUUCAGGGCAACAACAUAUUACAACUUUCAGACUAAUCAGCUAAUGCAGUGACCCAUUUGUGAGUGAAGUUAUUUGACUUGAUUCGGAGUCCACUUCUUCUGUGCUAUUAGAAAAUUGUGUGUCUUCCCAACUUUCUAAUGAUAUUGAGAACAAAACUGGGGGUACUAAUUGCCACAUCAGCAAAAAUGCACAUAAAAACACAAAUUGUGUACAUUAUGUAAGUACUAGUUUAUUUAGGAUUUCAUUAUGUGAAAACAUUUUUUUAUGAACUGUGAAAAGAUUUUCCUCCAACUAUCACAUUCACUGUUACAUCAUGAAUGUUGAAUAUAUCAUUGACCAAAAACUUUAGAGUUCUUAGAUAAUAGAAAUUGUUAAAAUUGAGUGUCAUCAAAAGUAGUCAGAUAUUUCUUUACUAAUAAUCUGCUGACUAGGGGGUGGAAGAUAUCAGUUAGUCAGUACUGUUCUUUAUUUUUGUAUUCCAUAGCUUUUUUCUCCCCCAUAUAUAUUAAAUUUGGAGAAAGUGUAGACUAUAUUGAAAAAUGUUCCUUCUUACAAAAUGCUUAUGAGCUAGGUACAUGUUUCUACAAAAGUAUACAGUGCUCAGUUUUGAAACAGGGUGAAAUAAACAUUUUUGUAUAAAUAUCUUUGUGGAUGUCUUAUAUCUGUUUUUCUGUGGCUUCAAAAGGAAGUCAUAGCCCUUAAAUCUUGUUCCACAUAGCCACUAUAGAAAGAGUAUGAUCCUUUUUUACUAGUCUCCAUGUAUGUAUGCCACACUGAGUACCAGCCUUUAUUUAUUUUUAACUCUUUGUCCCAUAGUUCACUUACAUGAAAGAGACCCAUAGUCUAAGCAAAAUACAUUUAUGCAACACAUGAAAUAAUAUCCACUUUGUAAUUCUGUAUCCAUGUUACACUUUCAAAAAUGUAUGACAUUAAUUUUAUAAAAUUAUUAACUUGAAAAAAGUUAAUAGCAGCAUGGUUGUAUUAUAACUGAAUUCUCUUGUCAAAACAUGUGCCUGAUUAUGAGUCACAUUGGGAAAACCUGAUAAAUCACACUUUCUCCACUCUGCUUUUACACUAGAAGACUGUAAAGAAUAAUAAUGACUUUAAAAAACUGUUAUUUUCAAUAUUCAGUAUCAAUUUGCAGUUGGGAAAAAAAAAACCAAAAUCAUAAUAUGCCAACACUACUUGAUUGAAAGGAUGUUCAGUGAGUUAAAUUUGUAAGUCAACAUUUUAUUGUGAUCAUUUAUUUACAUCAUCACGUAUUGAGGACAACAUAUUUUGCUGUACAGCCAAUGGGAGAGAAGGUUGUCAUACCAUGAAUGAGACUUUGAUUUCAACCACUGAAUGGAAAGACUAGAAUUGUAACUGUACAAAAUGAGAUUUACAUCAACAGAAAUUUGAUGUGUUUAUUACAAUAAAGUUUGGAGAAGAGUGUUGUAUAUGAAAUUAAAUAUUUUGUGAUAAUUUGUUUGUGAGAGACAAUAAGUAUAACAUAUUAUUCCAGAAAUUCCAUGUUUUUUUGUCUUGUGGUACAUAAAAGUUUAGUCUCAAGCAUAAUGUGUGCUGUAAAAUUUUAGUGAAAUAAAAACUUUGUAUUUUAAUAA